GCGAAGUUUUUCUGGUGCUUGCACUAGAAAAACUUAGCGGCGAACGGGUGAGUAACACGUAAAGAACCUGCCUUAUAGACUGGGACAACUAUUGGAAACGAUAGCUAAUACCGGAUAACAGCAUUAACUGCAUGGUUGAUGUUUGAAAGUUGGUUUUGCUAACACUAUGAGAUGGCUUUGCGGUGCAUUAGCUAGUUGGUGGGGUAAAGGCCUACCAAGGCGACGAUGCAUAGCCGACCUGAGAGGGUGAUCGGCCACACUGGGACUGAGACACGGCCCAGACUCCUACGGGAGGCAGCAGUAGGGAAUCUUCCGCAAUGGGCGAAAGCCUGACGGAGCAACGCCGCGUGAGUGAAGAAGGAUUUCGGUUCGUAAAGCUCUGUUGUUAGGGAAGAAUGAUUGUGUAGUAACUAUACACAGUAGAGACGGUACCUAACCAGAAAGCCACGGCUAACUACGUGCCAGCAGCCGCGGUAAUACGUAGGUGGCAAGCGUUGUCCGGAAUUAUUGGGCGUAAAGCGCGCGCAGGUGGUUUAAUAAGUCUGAUGUGAAAGCCCACGGCUCAACCGUGGAGGGUCAUUGGAAACUGUUAAACUUGAGUGCAGGAGAGAAAAGUGGAAUUCCUAGUGUAGCGGUGAAAUGCGUAGAGAUUAGGAGGAACACCAGUGGCGAAGGC
This 676-nucleotide ribosomal RNA is filed under the name uncultured Bacilli bacterium. Its description in RNAcentral is "bacterial SSU rRNA". It matches the Rfam family "Bacterial small subunit ribosomal RNA", at positions 66 to 722 of the family's 1533-position model. Lineage: Bacteria; Bacillati; Bacillota; Bacilli. The record is from RNAcentral.